GGUCAGGACGAACGCUGGCGGCGUGCUUAACACAUGCAAGUCGAACGAGGAUAUUUCCGGAGAGCUUCGGCAGGAAGGGAUAUUCGAGUGGCGACGGGUGAGUAACGCGUGAACAAUCUGUCCCAGACAGGGGGAUAACACUUGGAAACAGGUGCUAAUACCGCAUAAGACCACGGAUGGGCAUCCAUAAGGGGUAAAAGGAGCGAUCCGGUUUGGGGUGAGUUCGCGUCCGAUUAGCCAGUUGGCGGGGUAACGGCCCACCAAAGCGACGAUCGGUAGCCGACCUGAGAGGGUGAUCGGCCACAUUGGAACUGAGAGACGGUCCAAACUCCUACGGGAGGCAGCAGUGGGGAAUAUUGGGCAAUGGGCGAAAGCCCUGACCCAGCAACGCCGCGUGAGUGAAGAAGGCCUUCGGGUUGUAAAGCUCUGUUACAGGUGACGAAGGAAGUGACGGUAGCUUGUAAGGAAGCCCCGGCUUAACUACGUGCCAGCCGCCGC
RNAcentral lists this ribosomal RNA (498 nucleotides) under uncultured bacterium. RNAcentral describes it as "bacterial SSU rRNA". It matches the Rfam family "Bacterial small subunit ribosomal RNA", at positions 22 to 518 of the family's 1533-position model. The record is from RNAcentral.